RNAcentral lists this non-coding RNA (29 nucleotides) under Homo sapiens (human). Lineage: Eukaryota; Metazoa; Chordata; Mammalia; Primates; Hominidae. The record is from RNAcentral.
UCCAGCCCGGGCAGGCUUCCUUCUCUAGC